Molecule: non-coding RNA, 115 nt
Organism: Acanthosepion pharaonis
Lineage: Eukaryota; Metazoa; Mollusca; Cephalopoda; Sepiida; Sepiidae
Source: the annotation of a GenBank genome assembly
UUACGGUCAUAUAACGUUGAAACGCUGCUUUUUCAUACGAUCACUGAAGUUAAGCAACGUCGAGUCUGGUCAGUACCUUGAUGGGCGACCGCUUGGGAAUACCACGUGCUGUAAG